UGAUGACAAACGUGCACGUGGCCAGC
RNAcentral lists this non-coding RNA (26 nucleotides) under Homo sapiens (human). The record is from RNAcentral. Lineage: Eukaryota; Metazoa; Chordata; Mammalia; Primates; Hominidae.